CAAGGCGACGAUCCGUAGCUGGUCUGGGAGGACGAUCAGCCACACUGGGACUGAGACACGGCCCAGACUCCUACGGGAGGCAGCAGUGGGGAAUCUUGCGCAAUGGGCGAAAGCCUGACGCAGCGACGCCGCGUGCGGGAAGAAGGCCUUCGGGUUGUAAACCGCUUUCAGGAGGGACGAAGCCCCUCGGGUGAAUAGCCCAGAGGGUGACGGUACCUCCAGAAGAAGCCCCGGCUAACUACGUGCCAGCAGCCGCGGUAAUACGUAGGGGGCAAGCGUUGUCCGGAAUCAUUGGGCGUAAAGAGCUCGUAGGCGGCUCGGUAAGUCGGGUGUGAAACCCCCAGGCUCAACCUGGGGACGCCACCCGAUACUGCCGUGGCUAGAGUCCAGUAGGGGAGUGUGGAAUUCCCGGUGUAGCGGUGAAAUGCGCAGAUAUCGGGAGGAACACCAGCGGCGAAGGCGGCACUCUGGGCUGGAACUGACGCUGAGGAGCGAAAGCGUGGGUAGCAAACAGGAUUAGAUACCCUGGUAGUCCACGCCGUAAACGUUGGGCACUAGGUGUGGGGACCCUCCAACGGUUUCCGUGCCGUAGCUAACGCAUUAAGUGCCCCGCCUGGGGAGUACGGCCGCAAGGCUAAAACUCAAAUGAAUUGACGG
RNAcentral lists this ribosomal RNA (657 nucleotides) under uncultured bacterium. RNAcentral describes it as "bacterial SSU rRNA". It matches the Rfam family "Bacterial small subunit ribosomal RNA", at positions 269 to 916 of the family's 1533-position model. The record is from RNAcentral.